This 718-nucleotide ribosomal RNA is filed under the name Longileptoneta sp. n. 7 HZ-2020. RNAcentral describes it as "SSU rRNA". It matches the Rfam family "Eukaryotic small subunit ribosomal RNA", at positions 79 to 801 of the family's 1831-position model. Lineage: Eukaryota; Metazoa; Arthropoda; Arachnida; Araneae; Leptonetidae. The record is from RNAcentral.
AGGUGAAACCGCGAAUGGCUCAUUAAAUCAGUUACGAUUCCUUAGGUCGUACACUAUUACUUGGAUAACUGUGGUAAUUCUAGAGCUAAUACAUGCAGCUGAGCUCCGACCUUUAGGGACGAGCGCUUUUAUUAGAAAAGACCAAUCGGACUCGGUUCGUUUUUAUGGUGACUCUGGAUAACUUUGUGCUGAUCGCGCGGGCUCGUCCCGGCGACGCAUCUUUCAAGUGUCUGCCUUAUCAACUACGACGGUUGGUUAAAUGCCUACCGUGGUUGUAACGGGUGACGGGGAAUCAGGGUUCGAUUCCGGAGAACUAGCAUUAGAUUCGGCUAGUGUUUCUAUGGAAAACAGCAGGCGCGCAAAUUGCCCAAUCGUUGAUUACGGAGGCAGUGACGAAAAAUAACAAUACGGGACUCUUUUGAGACCCCGUAAUUGGAAUGAGUACAAACUAAUCCUUUUAGCGAGGAUCAAUUAGAGCGCAAGCCUAGUGCCAGCCGGCGCGGUAACACUAGUUCUAAUAGCGUAUAUUAAAAUUGUUGCGGUUAAAAAGCUCGUAGUUGGAUCUCAGAUCUAGUAGGACGCUCCGCCUACCGGUGGUUAGCGACUGCACUGAUCAGUCAGUCGGUUUCUCAUCGUGAUCUUAACCGGUUGCUUUGGGUGACCGGCACGUUUACUUUGAAAAAAUUAGAGUGCUCAAAGCAGGCGUGUCGCCUGAAUA